RNAcentral lists this ribosomal RNA (466 nucleotides) under uncultured bacterium. RNAcentral describes it as "bacterial SSU rRNA". It matches the Rfam family "Bacterial small subunit ribosomal RNA", at positions 330 to 793 of the family's 1533-position model. The record is from RNAcentral.
UCCAGACUCCUACGGGAGGCAGCAGUGAGGAAUAUUGGUCAAUGGCCGGAAGGCUGAACCAGCCAAGCCGCGUGAAGGACGAAGGUGCCAAGCAUUGUAAACUUCUUUUGUCAAGGGACAAAAUCAGGCUCGAGAGCCUGACCGAGGGUACUUGAAGAAAAAGCAUCGGCUAACUCCGUGCCAGCAGCCGCGGUAAUACGUAGGUGGCAAGCGUUGUCCGGAUUUACUGGGUGUAAAGGGCGUGUAGCCGGGCUGACAAGUCAGAUGUGAAAUCCGGGGGCUCAACCCCCGAACUGCAUUUGAAACUGUUGGUCUUGAGUAUCGGAGAGGCAGGCGGAAUUCCUAGUGUAGCGGUGAAAUGCGUAGAUAUUAGGAGGAACACCAGUGGCGAAGGCGGCCUGCUGGACAGAAACUGACGUUGAGGCUCGAAAGCGUGGGGAGCAAACAGGAUUAGAUACCCGCGUAC